AACCUAGCACACCUGCGGUGUGUACCUGCGGAAGGAUCAUUACAGAGUUGCAAGACUCCCUAAACCAUUGUGAACCUACCUUCUACCGUUGCUUCGGCGGGCGGGCCCAGCGCCCCCCCGGCCCCCCGCGGGCGCCCGCCGGAGGAUACCCAAACUCUUGACAUUAGUGGCCUCUCUGAGUAUUCUUUACUGAAUAAGUCAAAACUUUCAACAACGGAUCU
Molecule: unclassified non-coding RNA, 221 nt
Filed under: soil metagenome
Description: partial contains 5.8S ribosomal RNA, internal transcribed spacer 2, and large subunit ribosomal RNA
Source: RNAcentral